RNAcentral lists this ribosomal RNA (468 nucleotides) under uncultured bacterium. Its description in RNAcentral is "partial 16S ribosomal RNA". It matches the Rfam family "Bacterial small subunit ribosomal RNA", at positions 28 to 507 of the family's 1533-position model. The record is from RNAcentral.
GACGAACGCUGGCGGCGUGCUUAACACAUGCAAGUCGAACGGAAAGGCCCUGCUUUUGUGGGGUGCUCGAUUGGCGAACGGGUGAGUAACACGCGAGUAACCUGCCCUUGACUUUGGGAUAACUUCAGGAAACUGGGGCUAAUACCGCAUAGGAGCUCCUGCUGCGUGGUGGGGGUUGGAAAGAUUCGGCGGUUGGGGAUGGACUCGCGGCUUAUCAGCUUGUUGGUGGGGUAGUGGCUUACCAAGGCUUUGACGGAUAGCCGACCUGAGAGGCUUACCGGGCACAUUGGGCCUGAGAUACGGAGCAGACUCCUACGGGAGGCAGCAGGGGGGAAUAUUGCGCAAUGGGCGGAAGCCAGAUGCAGCAGCGCCGCGUGCGGGAUGACGGGCUUCGGGUUGUGAACCGAUUUGGCCUGUGACGAAGCGUGAGUGACGGUAAUGGGUAAAGAAGCACCGGCUAACUACGUG